GAUGAACGCUGGCGGCGUGCCUAAUACAUGCAAGUCGAGCGAACAGACGAGGAGCUUGCUCCUCUGACGUUAGCGGCGGACGGGUGAGUAACACGUGGAUAACCUACCUAUAAGACUGGGAUAACUUCGUGAAACCGGAGCUAAUACCGGAUAAUAUAUUGAACCGCAUGGUUCAAUAGUGAAAGUCGGUUUUGCUGUCACUUAUAGAUUGAUCCGCGCCGCAUUAGCUAGUUGGUAAGGUAACGGCUUACCAAGGCAACGAUGCGUAGCCGACCUGAGAGGGUGAUCGGCCACACUGGAACUGAGACACGGUACAGACUCCUACGGGAGGCAGCAGUAGGGAAUCUUCCGCAAUGGGCGAAAGCUUGACGGAGCAAAGCCGCGUGAGUGAUGAAGGUCUUAGGAUCGUAAAACUCUGUUAUUAGGGAAGAACAAAUGUGUAAGUAACUAUGCACGUAUUGACGGUACCUAAUCAGAAAGCCACGGCUAACUACGUG
Molecule: ribosomal RNA, 497 nt
Filed under: uncultured bacterium
Lineage: Bacteria
Description: partial 16S ribosomal RNA
Rfam family: Bacterial small subunit ribosomal RNA
Source: RNAcentral